This 254-nucleotide ribosomal RNA is filed under the name uncultured bacterium. Its description in RNAcentral is "partial 16S ribosomal RNA". It matches the Rfam family "Bacterial small subunit ribosomal RNA", at positions 524 to 776 of the family's 1533-position model. The record is from RNAcentral.
UACGUAGGGGCCUAGCGUUGUCCGGAAUCAUUGGGCGUAAAGAGCUCGUAGGCGGUUCGGCAAGUCACGUGUGAAAUCUCCACGCUUAACGUGGAGGCGCCACGUGAAACUGCCGUGACUCGAGUCCGGUAGGGGAGUGUGGAAUUCCCGGUGUAGCGGUGAAAUGCGCAGAUAUCGGGAGGAACACCAGUGGCGAAGGCGGUUGCCUGGGGCUUUGCUGACGCUGAUGCGCGAAAGCGUGGGGAGCGAUCCGG